UGGCUUCAGAUAUGUAGCAGAGAGG
This 25-nucleotide non-coding RNA is filed under the name Mus musculus (house mouse). Lineage: Eukaryota; Metazoa; Chordata; Mammalia; Rodentia; Muridae. The record is from RNAcentral.